UGCUUAAAGAGCACUGGAGAAGACCUGCCACAGUACACUGAAUGUUUGAUACAGAUGAUCUUCACCAACUGGACUGCGGUGCAGGAAUUUGACGAACACGACAGGCAGCAUCUUGCAGAUGCAAUUCGCUGCUCCAUUAAAACGGUGCCCAGCCUGGAUGUGGGAAGACACCUGGUGCUCUACGUGCGCAAGAUUUCGGGGUAGCAUGGUUA
Long non-coding RNA from Ornithodoros turicata, 212 nucleotides. RefSeq lists it as uncharacterized. NCBI's taxonomy places the organism in Eukaryota, Metazoa, Arthropoda, Arachnida, Ixodida, Argasidae. The transcript has 4 exons. The record is from RefSeq and is a predicted model, not a curated record.